Molecule: transfer RNA, 73 nt
Filed under: Chloroflexota bacterium
Lineage: Bacteria; Bacillati; Chloroflexota
Description: Chloroflexi bacterium tRNA-Phe
Rfam family: tRNA
About the family: Transfer RNA (tRNA) molecules are approximately 80 nucleotides in length.
Source: RNAcentral
AUCGGGGUAGCUCAGAUGGUAGAGUGGGGGACUGAAAAUCCCCAGGUCGUAGGUUCGAGCCCUGCCUCCGAUA